Molecule: ribosomal RNA, 404 nt
Filed under: uncultured bacterium
Lineage: Bacteria
Description: partial 16S ribosomal RNA
Rfam family: Bacterial small subunit ribosomal RNA
Source: RNAcentral
AUUGAACGCUAGCGGCAUGCUUUACACAUGCAAGUCGAACGAGUGGCGGACGGGUGAGUAAUAUAUCGGAACGUGCCCAGUAGCGGGGGAUAACUACUCGAAAGGGUGGCUAAUACCGCAUACUAUGGGAGCGGCCGAUAGCGGAUUAGCUUGUUGGUGGGGGAAAGGCUCACCAAGGCGACGAUCCGUAGCUGGUUUGAGAGGACGACCGGCCACGCUGGGACUGGGACACGGCCCAGACCCCUACUGGGGGCAGCGGUGGGGAAUUUUGGACAAGGGGGAAACCCUGAUCCAGCCAGCCCGCGUGUAUGAGAAGGCCUUCGGGUUGUAAAGUACUUUUGGCAGAGAAGCGGUAUCUGCAGAAUAAGCACCGGCUAACUACGUGCCAGCAGCCGCGGUAAUAC